GAGGGUAUAGCUCAGUGGUAGAGCACGUGCUUAGCAUGCACAAGGUCCUGGGUUCAAUUCCCCAGUACCUCCA
RNAcentral lists this transfer RNA (73 nucleotides) under Camelus bactrianus (Bactrian camel). It matches the Rfam family "tRNA". From Rfam's summary of the family: Transfer RNA (tRNA) molecules are approximately 80 nucleotides in length. Their secondary structure includes four short double-helical elements and three loops (D, anti-codon, and T loops). Further hydrogen bonds mediate the characteristic L-shaped molecular structure. tRNAs have two regions of fundamental functional importance: the anti-codon, which is responsible for specific mRNA codon recognition, and the 3' end, to which the tRNAs corresponding amino acid is attached (by aminoacyl-tRNA synthetases). tRNAs cope with the degeneracy of the genetic code in two manners: having more than one tRNA (with a specific anti-codon) for a particular amino acid; and 'wobble' base-pairing, i.e. permitting non-standard base-pairing at the 3rd anti-codon position. The record is from Rfam by way of RNAcentral. Lineage: Eukaryota; Metazoa; Chordata; Mammalia; Artiodactyla; Camelidae. RNAcentral also lists the same sequence under 2 other names.